RNAcentral lists this ribosomal RNA (377 nucleotides) under uncultured bacterium. RNAcentral describes it as "bacterial SSU rRNA". It matches the Rfam family "Bacterial small subunit ribosomal RNA", at positions 29 to 407 of the family's 1533-position model. The record is from RNAcentral.
ACGAACGCUGGCGGCGUGCUUAACACAUGCAAGUCGAGCGGUAAGGCCCUUUCGGGGGUACACGAGCGGCGAACGGGUGAGUAACACGUGGGUGACCUGCCCUUAGCUCUGGGAUAAGCCUGGGAAACUGGGUCUAAUACCGGAUAUGACUCCAUGACGCAUGUUGUGGGGUGGAAAGCCUUGUGCGGCUAGGGAUGGGCCCGCGGCCUAUCAGCUUGUUGGUGGGGUGAUGGCCUACCAAGGCGACGACGGGUAGCCGGCCUGAGAGGGCGACCGGCCACACUGGGACUGAGACACGGCCCAGACUCCUACGGGAGGCAGCAGUGGGGAAUCUUGCGCAAUGGGCGAAAGCCUGACGCAGCGACGCCGCGUGGGGA